This 310-nucleotide ribosomal RNA is filed under the name uncultured Aspergillus. Its description in RNAcentral is "SSU rRNA". It matches the Rfam family "Eukaryotic small subunit ribosomal RNA", at positions 39 to 352 of the family's 1831-position model. The record is from RNAcentral. Lineage: Eukaryota; Fungi; Ascomycota; Eurotiomycetes; Eurotiales; Aspergillaceae.
AAAGAUUAAGCCAUGCAUGUCUAAGUAUAAGCAAUUUAUACAGUGAAACUGCGAAUGGCUCAUUAAAUCAGUUAUCGUUUAUUUGAUAGUACCUUACUACAUGGAUACCUGUGGUAAUUCUAGAGCUAAUACAUGCUAAAAACCUCGACUUCGGAAGGGGUGUAUUUAUUAGAUAAAAAACCAAUGCCCUUCGGGGCUCCUUGGUGAUUCAUAAUAACUUAACGAAUCGCAUGGCCUUGCGCCGGCGAUGGUUCAUUCAAAUUUCUGCCCUAUCAACUUUCGAUGGUAGGAUAGUGGCCUACCAUGGUGG